UUUACAUUUUGACUCAUUUUCAUCUUUUCCUUUGCCCGUAUUAUUUUUACUUUUUCUCCCAAGUGCUUAUCUUCCACGAUGCUUGUAAAACCUAUGCUUCAAAUCUUCGUCUCGAAUAAGAAAAGACAUUUUCACGUUGCGAAUCUUCGUCUGAAACCAAUUUCGCUCUUCGAUUGUGCAUCUCUCAAUCACAACGUUCAAUUAAUAGCUCCAAUAUAUUUUUCAUUGUGCAUGAAGCAAGGAAUGGGCUUGUUAGAGAAUUCAUUGUAUAGGCAAUUUGUUCAACACAAUAAUGUGUUGCUUAAGAACAUUGAAAUAUUCCACUUGUAUGAGCUUGAUGGUAUUAGUUCAAACAUUAUGAAGAUUGCUGGAGUAUACCACUAGAAGGAUGGUCAUAAGGGUGUUGGGGUAUUUUGGCUUCAACAAGCCCAAGAUUCUAUUUGUCUUGAUAGGAUUGCCCAACAGUUAUUUGAUUCUGUUGGAAAGUCAAUAUUUGAUGAAAGCUUCAAGCAAUGGGAAGGCAUGAUUGAACUACUAAGUUCUGAAUCUAAGCCUGUUGGGGGUCUUGAGUUUUUGCACAAGUAUAAGGAUUUCAAGGAAUCCCUUCAGAAGGUAUCUGGUGGAAAAUCAACUAAGCUAGCCAGGCAAGUUGUAGGCUCCCUCAUGCUGAAGGGAACUACUAUGAGCCUAGAAGCAACUUACAUAGAGUGGAAGAGCUUGAGCUUGCUUGGAGAGGAUGGGGAACCAAACCCUAACAGAGUUUGCUGUUGGGAAGCAAGGAGAGCGUGAGAACGAAUGUUUUCUGAAAGUGAGUGAAACUAGAGUGUUAGGGCAAAUUAGGAUCUUUGGCUCCCUAUGGGCCAACCCUAGGUCCAACUGAUUUGGGGCAGCCUUUCUAAAUUAGAGCAGAAAAUAAAAAGAGGGUUUUACAAUAACUAUUAUUAUAAUUAUUGUUA
Unclassified non-coding RNA from Vigna unguiculata (cowpea), 956 nucleotides. Lineage: Eukaryota; Viridiplantae; Streptophyta; Magnoliopsida; Fabales; Fabaceae. The record is from RefSeq and is a predicted model, not a curated record.